GUAGGGAAUAUUGGGCAAUGGAUGCAAGUCUGACCCAGCCAUCCCGCGUGCCGGAAGAAGGCCCUCAGGGUUGUAAACGGCUUUUGACGGUGAAGAAUCGACAGGAUGCGUCCUGUUUUGACGGUAGCCGUUGAAUAAGCACCGGCUAACUCCGUGCCAGCAGCCGCGGUAAUACGGAGGGUGCGAGCGUUGUCCGGAUUUAUUGGGUUUAAAGGGUGCGUAGGCUGGAAGGUCAGUCAGCGGUGACAAGCUGUCGCUUAACGAUAGUCUUGCCGCAGAUACUUCCUUUCUUGGAUGAGGAGGAGGCCACUGGAACGGAUGGUGUAGCGGUGAAAUGCAUAGAUAUCAUCCAGAACACCGAUUGCGAAGGCAGGUGGCUGUACCUUAAUCGACGCUGAUGCACGAAAGCAUGGGGAGCAAACAGGAUUAGAAACCCGUGUAGUCC
RNAcentral lists this ribosomal RNA (445 nucleotides) under uncultured bacterium. Its description in RNAcentral is "bacterial SSU rRNA". It matches the Rfam family "Bacterial small subunit ribosomal RNA", at positions 354 to 796 of the family's 1533-position model. The record is from RNAcentral.